RNA transcript from Triticum aestivum (bread wheat), 760 nucleotides. It is a transcript of the gene named cx9C motif-containing protein 4, with no coding region annotated. The record is from RefSeq and is a predicted model, not a curated record. NCBI's taxonomy places the organism in Eukaryota, Viridiplantae, Streptophyta, Magnoliopsida, Poales, Poaceae. The transcript is spliced from 4 exons.
CGGCUGGCCACACAAGACACAACAACGGAGCGCGGGAUGGGCCAGUCAGAGCCCAAAACUCUCACUCACUCUGGGCCGGGCCAACCAGCGGCUCGGCUACAAAAUCACCGUCUGUCGUCUUUCAAUUGAUUCUUUGACUAUGUCUAAAAAACAAUUGAUUCUUUGACUUGUUGGUUCGAUUUCCUCUUCUCAAAGGAACCCCCAACACCGUCGUCGGAGCAGCGGCGGCAGCAAGAGGAGGAGCGAGAUGGCGCAGCCCAGCAAGGAGCCGUGCAAGAAGGAGGCGUGCGACAUCCAGGCCUGCCUCUCCAAGAACCUCUUCGAUUCCAAGAAGUGUUUGAAAGUUAUUCAGUCACUACAAUCUUGUUGUGAGCAAUGCGAGUACAAAUCAACACAUUGUGGUUCUUUGUCGGGCUUGCUCAAAAACAUUUCAAAGUGAUGUAAUAAGACUAUCACUCAAUAAAGGUAAUUUUAGGUUUGCUUGGGAGUUAAUCAGGAUAUCAGUUUCUCUAAUCCAUCAUGUAUGACUGGGAAAAAUAAUAAUGCGCCAUCCUCAACCUGCAGAAAGGUGAUGUGGUUGCUAGUUGUUCGGUGCUGAGUUUGUCAACAUAUUUUUUUAAGAGGGAUACUGAUAUUGCCGUAUACCUGUAUCAUCCUUUGUAUUUCUUAUGCUCAUGUGCAGAUGUAAUUCAAGAAAAUAAGUGAACCCUGGCCUUGUUGUACACCAAUCUGCAUUUAUGAUAUGGGAAGUGUUUUUGAA